UUUCGGUCCCCCCGCAAUGAUACUCUGUGAACCCGGCCAGAUUCGGAAGAAAGCAACCGUAGCAGACGACUCAUGUGCCGGGGUGUGGCUGAUUGGG
Molecule: signal recognition particle RNA, 97 nt
Filed under: Thalassomonas viridans
Lineage: Bacteria; Pseudomonadati; Pseudomonadota; Gammaproteobacteria; Alteromonadales; Colwelliaceae
Description: signal recognition particle sRNA small type
Rfam family: Bacterial small signal recognition particle RNA
About the family: The signal recognition particle (SRP) is a universally conserved ribonucleoprotein involved in the co-translational targeting of proteins to membranes.
Source: RNAcentral